AGAACGAACGCUGGCGGCAGGCCUCAAACAUGCAAGUCUAGGGGGUGUAGCAAUACAUCACCGGCGGACGGGUGCGUAACACGUGGGAAUAUACCUUUUGGUUCGGAACAACGCAGGGAAACUUGCGCUAAUACCGAAUGUGCCCUUACGGGGAAAGAUUUAUCGCCAAAGGAUUAGCCCGCGUAGGAUUAGCUAGUUGGUGAGGUAAUGGCUCACCAAGGCUCCGAUCCUUAGCUGUUCUGAGAGGAAGAUCAGCCACACUGGGACUGAGACACGGCCCAGACUCCUACGGGAGGCAGCAGUUGGGAAUCUUGGACAAUGGGGGAAACCCUGAUCCAGCCAUGCCGCGUGAGUGAUGAAGGCCUUCGGGUUGUAAAGCACUUUCGACGGGACGAUGAUGACGGUACCCGUAGAAGAGCCCCGGCUAACUUCGUGCCAGCAGCCGC
Molecule: ribosomal RNA, 446 nt
Filed under: uncultured bacterium
Lineage: Bacteria
Description: SSU rRNA
Rfam family: Bacterial small subunit ribosomal RNA
Source: RNAcentral